This is a long non-coding RNA of Taeniopygia guttata (zebra finch), 3012 nucleotides long. The record is from Ensembl. Lineage: Eukaryota; Metazoa; Chordata; Aves; Passeriformes; Estrildidae.
CCCCGCGGCUUCCCGGCGGCGGAGGAGGGGGAGCCCCAGCCUUCGGCUUGCCGGGAAAAGGCUCGAUGCGGCGGGAAGGUGCCGGGACGGAGGCCCGGGAAUGAUGGGGGCAUCUCAGUGCUCCCCGCCCUCCAAUCCCUUUCAGCCGUCACGGCACCCUGGGAGGGUCUCGGUGUCCCGCAAACGUGGCCUCGGGUGGCGGAGUGGCCGUGGCGUGUUCCCAGUGCGAACAGUGUCAGACUCGGACAGGUGGCAGCUGUGGCAGCCCUUUGGCAUCCGCUUGGUUUUGAUACGGACCCCUUAAAAAGCAAGGCAACAUCCCGCAGCUUCAUAAAACAUAAUCUGAGCUAGCACAGUGAGAUCUGGUUAUUUCCUAAUCUUGCAUUAAACUCAUUCACUGAAGGAGAAGAAGGAAUAGCUAGCAUGCCACCAGAAAAAAUCAAAAAGACAAUUUCCAAAAUGUAUCAACUGAAAUUCUCAUAAAACUUGACCAGACCCUGCUAAGUGACUAGAAACAGGAAAAACUGUUGCAAUCCUGUGAUGAAUCAGUAGGAUUUUGAGAGAAGUGAAGAAAUGUGAAAAGAAGCACUCUAAGUUUUAUACUUGAGGACCAGGAUCUCACUUUUGAGACAAAAAUGCAGCUGAUGAACUGUACCUGCAAGUAAUCCCCUAUCUUCCCUCUCUCCUUCUCAGCCUCAUGCCCCACCCAGCUCCACCUCUGCACAUAAAACCCACAUAAACUGCAGCUUUUUGCACUCUGUGAACUGCAGGGACAAAUAUUUUAAAGAUAAAGAUUGGAAAGGUCCUAGCCAAGACAAGGCUGAGAGCCUUGGGCUCCAUGUUCUCCUCUAACGUGGCAUUUUACAAAGACUCCUCCUACCACAUGACAAGUUUUGCAGGGAAGGAUGACUCCCAAAGAGCUAUGAAACAGUGAGAAGGGACAUGGCAAUGAGAUUAUAACUGAAACAGAUUUGUAACUUCUGCUCCCAUCUCCUUUGCCUGUAGUUGUUUACAAAACACUGGGUGUGCAUGUGGAAACCACAAAAGCAGCUCCUGCCCUCCUGAAGAACAAACCACCCUCCAGCUUUCAGAAUUCAGAUGGUUCCCUGUCGUGAGCACCCAGGCUGCUCCAUGAUGGCUGGUGUAUGGAAAGAGGCUUAAUUAAACCACAAAUCAUAGAAUUCCAAGAUGAGACCUAACUGCUAUUUGACUCAGGAUAGGCUUAUUUUUCAUUCUCCUCUACAAAACAAGCCACUUCCCAGCACUCUUCUACCCAGCUCAGAGUGGCUCUCUUGGCGACCCUCGGGUGAUGAAGCAAGGAGGGGGACCUGCUAUGGGGCCGCCUGUGCCGUGGGAAGUGUGAACCCCCGUGCACGCCUGGCCUUCCUGGGCUGUGGAAUAUUGAUGAGCUGUGAAAAAAAGCAGGGAGGUUUGUUCCUGUGAUCUGCUGUGCCUGCUAGCUCUGUCUCUCUGUAUAUAUGUAUACAUGUUUACGUGUGUGCUAGUGUGGGUGUAAGUACAUAUUCUCAAAAUAUAAAUAAAUAUAAAUAAGCAUGCAUGCACAUAUCUGCACAAAUAUUUAUACAGAUUUUUUUAAGAAGGAAGGGGAAACAGUGAUGAAAAUCAGAAUUUUUGUUCAAAGGAUCCACUUUGCGCGGGGGAAAAUGUAUUGGCAAUAGAUUUUUUUCCCCUGAACCUCAGCUCAACUUCACAAAACCCGAUUUCCAACAUGGCCUUCAUACAAUUGCUUUUAUCACUUUCUCUCAUUGUGUCCUUAUGUACAAGGGUAAAGACUAUUCUACUGCAUCCAAGUACAGUGUGCUAAAGGGAGGGUGAGCAGUGGGGAGCCGUGCCUGUGCCACUGUCCUUUGCCUGUUCCUGAUUCCAUGGCCUGAGGCAAUGGUUUGCAUUUUUAGGACAACAGCCGGCUAUCUGCAAGCAGGAGACCACUCGUCAGGCUUCAUUACUGCACACAAAAUGACACUAGUGAGCCUGUGGUCACAACUGUGCUUAUGGUGCGCUGAAAAGCCAUUACAUCUCAUUGCAACAAAAAACUGCACGAAUGUACAGGCUGACCAGCCCCAUAAAUUGCCAAAAACCUGACAGGUCAGCUUAUUUAUGCAAUGUAGUACCUGCAGUAAAAUUUUCUGGAUAGAGCAAUAGUAGGGGACUAGGAACAAAAUAUGGUGUUAUAGUUUAAUUGGCAAUGCUUCUGUUUCCUUUAUUGAGUACUGAGAAAAUAAAGAAUUUCAUUCUGCUGCAUGCUUGCUGCAUUAGGCAUGGUCAGCUGAAGUGUCUUCCCCUUCUUCACAUUAACAACCCUAAAGCAUAGUUAAAAUAUAAUGACUAGCAUGAAUGGAUUUUCAUGUUUGAUGUUAUUUUUCAUUGUUUAAAUUUUUGGUAUUAUACAGAUCACAUUGACAUAUCUGACAUAUAGCAUUUUGCUUAGCUGUAAGUGAACUGGUUUCUGCUAUAAUUAUAGACAUUAUUACUUGUUUAGUUGGGCAAUGAGUAUAUCUAAUAAUGUUGCAUGUGAAGGGUAAAACUGAAAGAGACAAAGAAAAUGCAGCUAUUAGGAUUCUGGAACAUUCCCUUCUGAAGGAAAUUCAUAUUGUAAUGUGGCUAGCAUCUAUUUAUGUCACAUGUAAUUGGUACAUAUUGGCAAGUGCUGUGAACAAAAGAAUUCUGGGCCAGAUUCUGAUCUUGUGUGCAUGCUUAUGUACACAUAUAAAGAGAGAGAGGGUAUAAUUUUAUCCUGGUGAAACAAGAUAAGAAGAAAGACAGAUUAUCUUUUGGGAAGUCAGAUGCUAUAGCUGGGGAAAGCAGAAGGGCUUCCAAGUCCAUGGUGACUUUCUCAACUGAUCUUACUUCCUUAGCAUAAUUUGUUGAUUGUAGUUAUAACAAUGUUUAAUAACUUUAGAUCUGUAAUGGAAUUGUGUCAGUGGAUGGGGCAUUGUAAUUGAGCUCAGCAACAAGAUGUUUCCUUAUCAAUAAAACUAUUCCUGUACCCAU